CCUACGGGAGGCAGCAGUGAGGAAUAUUGGUCAAUGGACGAAAGUCUGAACCAGCCAUGCAGCGUGCAGGAAGACGGCUCUAUGAGUUGUCAACUUCUUUUGUACGAGGGUAAACGCAGAUACGCGUAUCUGUCUGAAAGUAUCGUACGAAUAAGGAUCGGCUAACUCCGUGCCAGCAGCCGCGGUAAUACGGAGGAUUCAAGCGUUAUCCGGAUUUAUUGGGUUUAAAGGGUGCGUAGGCGGUCGGAUAAGUUAGAGGUGAAAUCCCGAGGCUCAACUUUGGAAUUGCAUCUGAUACUGUUCGGCUAGAGAGUAGUUGUGGUAGGCGGAAUGUAUGGUGUAGCGGUGAAAUGCUUAGAGAUCAUACAGAACACCGAUUGCGAAGGCAGCUUACCAAGCUCCUUCUGACGUUGAGGCACGAAAGCGUGGGGAGCAAACAGGAUUAGAUACCCUAGUAGUC
Molecule: ribosomal RNA, 460 nt
Filed under: uncultured bacterium
Lineage: Bacteria
Description: partial 16S ribosomal RNA
Rfam family: Bacterial small subunit ribosomal RNA
Source: RNAcentral